Molecule: non-coding RNA, 779 nt
Filed under: Gonepteryx rhamni (common brimstone butterfly)
Lineage: Eukaryota; Metazoa; Arthropoda; Insecta; Lepidoptera; Pieridae
Source: RNAcentral
AAAUAAAUUUUUAUAAUUUAAAAAUUUUAUUUUAAGUUUAAAUUAUAUAUAAAUUUUAGUGUAAAUUUUAUUAUAUUUAAAAAAAAUAAUAAUUAAUUAUAUAGUAAUUAAAAUUAAAAAUUUAAGAAAUUAAGAUUUAGUAAUACAAAAAUAAAUAACAAAUUUUGUGCCAGCAGUUGCGGUUACACUAAAAUUUAUUUAAAAUUUUUCAGUAAUAAUAAAUAAUAAAUUAAAUUUUUAAUUAAAAAUAAAAUUAUAAGGUGAAAUUUUAAUUUUAUAAAAAUUAAAAUGUAAUUAUGAAUUAAUAAAAUUUUAUUGAUAAACUAAGAUUAGAUACCCUAUUAUAGGAAAAUUAAAUAAUAAUACUAAAAUAGUAGAUAAUAAUUUAUUGAAACUUAAAUAAUUUGGCGGUAUUUUAGUUCAUUUAGAGGAAUCUGUCUAAUAAUUGAUAAUCCACGAAUAAAUUUACUUAAUUUAAAAUUUUAUAUAUCGUUGUUAAAAAAAUAUUUUUAAAAAAUAAUAAUAUUUAAAAAUUUUAAAAUAAAAUUAACUCAGAUCAAGAUGUAGAUAAUAAUUAAGAAUAUGAUGGAUUACAAUAAUUAUAAAUAAAUGGAUAUUAAUUUUGAAAUAAUUAAUUGAAGGUGGAUUUAAAUGUAAUUUUAUUUAAUUUAUUAAAAUGAUUAAAAAUUAAAAUAUGUACAUAUGCCCUACCACUUGCAAUCCAAAAUUGAAAUAAGUCGUAACAAAGUAGGGGUACUGGAAAGUGUUUCUAGAAAGAA